This 624-nucleotide ribosomal RNA is filed under the name uncultured Staphylococcus sp. Its description in RNAcentral is "bacterial SSU rRNA". It matches the Rfam family "Bacterial small subunit ribosomal RNA", at positions 70 to 677 of the family's 1533-position model. The record is from RNAcentral. Lineage: Bacteria; Bacillati; Bacillota; Bacilli; Caryophanales; Staphylococcaceae.
CAGACGAGGAGCUUGCUCCUCUGACGUUAGCGGCGGACGGGUGAGUAACACGUGGAUAACCUACCUAUAAGACUGGGAUAACUUCGGGAAACCGGAGCUAAUACCGGAUAAUAUAUUGAACCGCAUGGUUCAAUAGUGAAAGACGGUUUUGCUGUCACUUAUAGAUGGAUCCGCGCCGCAUUAGCUAGUUGGUAAGGUAACGGCUUACCAAGGCGACGAUGCGUAGCCGACCUGAGAGGGUGAUCGGCCACACUGGAACUGAGACACGGUCCAGACUCCUACGGGAGGCAGCAGUAGGGAAUCUUCCGCAAUGGGCGAAAGCCUGACGGAGCAACGCCGCGUGAGUGAUGAAGGUCUUCGGAUCGUAAAACUCUGUUAUUAGGGAAGAACAAAUGUGUAAGUAACUAUGCACGUCUUGACGGUACCUAAUCAGAAAGCCACGGCUAACUACGUGCCAGCAGCCGCGGUAAUACGUAGGUGGCAAGCGUUAUCCGGAAUUAUUGGGCGUAAAGCGCGCGUAGGCGGUUUUUUAAGUCUGAUGUGAAAGCCCACGGCUCAACCGUGGAGGGUCAUUGGAAACUGGAAAACUUGAGUGCAGAAGAGGAAAGUGGAAUUCCAUGUGUA